RNAcentral lists this ribosomal RNA (452 nucleotides) under uncultured bacterium. Its description in RNAcentral is "bacterial SSU rRNA". It matches the Rfam family "Bacterial small subunit ribosomal RNA", at positions 355 to 796 of the family's 1533-position model. The record is from RNAcentral.
UCAGGAAUAUUGCGCAAUGGAGGAAACUCUGACGCAGCGACGCCGCGUGGGUGAUGAAGGCCUUCGGGUCGUAAAGCCCUGUCGGAAGGGAAGAAAAGCUUGUUGGCUAAUAUCCAGCGAGCCUUUGACGGUACCUUCAAAGGAAGCACCGGCUAACUCCGUGCCAGCAGCCGCGGUAAGACGGAGGGUGCAAGCGUUGUUCGGAUUGACUGGGCGUAAAGGGCGUGUAGGCGGUUCGUUAAGUCGGGUGUGAAAGCCCGGGGCUCAGCUCCGGAAGUGCGCCCGAAACUGGCGAGCUGGAGCGCGGUAGAGGAGGGUGGAAUUCCUGGUGUAGCGGUGAAAUGCGUAGAUAUCAGGAGGAACACCGGCGGCGAAGGCGGCCCUCUGGACCGUUGCUGACGCUGAGACGCGAAAGCGUGGGGAGCAAACAGGAUUAGAUACCCCCGUAGUCC